Molecule: ribosomal RNA, 535 nt
Filed under: Rhizomucor pusillus
Lineage: Eukaryota; Fungi; Mucoromycota; Mucoromycetes; Mucorales; Lichtheimiaceae
Description: partial large subunit ribosomal RNA
Rfam family: Eukaryotic large subunit ribosomal RNA
Source: RNAcentral
UGGGUAAAGCUCAAGUUUAAAACCUGUUUGUCCUAGACAAACCGGAUUGUAAACUAAGGACGUGCUAUCCAGGCUCUUUGGACCUUCAAGUCCUUUGGAAUAAGGCUUCACAGAGGGUGACAAUCCCGUAGAGGGUCUUGAAAGAGUCUAUUGCGAUGCAUGCUCCAAGAGUCAGGUUGUUUGGGAAUGCAGCCUAAAGUGGGAGGUAAAUCCCUCCUAAAGCUAAAUAUUGGCGAGAGACCGAUAGCAAACAAGUACCGUGAGGGAAAGUUGAAAAGGACUUUGAAAAGAGAGUCAAAAGUACGUGAAAUUGCUUAAAGGGAAGCGUUUGGAGCUAGUUUGGCUAGUCUGUUAUCAGCCUGAGCUUCGGCUUUGGUGUACUAUCAGGCUAUUUGCCGGCCAACUUUCAGGAUUGGAAGGAAAGCUUAGUGCUUUGGAGUCUAAAGAGACCUUUGCGGAAGCCUCUGGUGGAGCGUUGGUCUGCCUUGGCCCUUCUGAACCUAUAGUUGGCUUAAUGGCUCUAAACGGCCCGUCU